UACGUAGGAUGCAAGCGUUGUCCGGAAUUAUUGGGCGUAAAGAGUUCGUAGGCGGUUGUCUAAGUCUGUUGUUAAAGGCCUGAGCUCAACUCGGGUAUGGCAAUGGAUACUGGGCGGCUAGAGUGUGGUAGAGGUCACGGGAAUUCCAGGUGUAGCGGUGAAAUGCGUAGAUAUAGGAAGGAACACCAGUGGCGAAGGCGACCACCUGGACUGAUACUGACACUGAGGUGCGAAAGCGUGGGGAGCAAACAGG
Molecule: ribosomal RNA, 253 nt
Filed under: uncultured bacterium
Lineage: Bacteria
Description: partial 16S ribosomal RNA
Rfam family: Bacterial small subunit ribosomal RNA
Source: RNAcentral